ACCUAGCUGGCUCAGUUGGCAGAACAUGUGGCUCUUGAUCUCGGGGUUGUGGGUUUGAGCCCUAUGUUGGGUA
Molecule: transfer RNA, 73 nt
Filed under: Ailuropoda melanoleuca (giant panda)
Lineage: Eukaryota; Metazoa; Chordata; Mammalia; Carnivora; Ursidae
Rfam family: tRNA
About the family: Transfer RNA (tRNA) molecules are approximately 80 nucleotides in length. Their secondary structure includes four short double-helical elements and three loops (D, anti-codon, and T loops). Further hydrogen bonds mediate the characteristic L-shaped molecular structure. tRNAs have two regions of fundamental functional importance: the anti-codon, which is responsible for specific mRNA codon recognition, and the 3' end, to which the tRNAs corresponding amino acid is attached (by aminoacyl-tRNA synthetases). tRNAs cope with the degeneracy of the genetic code in two manners: having more than one tRNA (with a specific anti-codon) for a particular amino acid; and 'wobble' base-pairing, i.e. permitting non-standard base-pairing at the 3rd anti-codon position.
Source: Rfam by way of RNAcentral